Dendrobium catenatum is the source of this 402-nucleotide long non-coding RNA. RefSeq lists it as uncharacterized. The transcript is spliced from 3 exons. Lineage: Eukaryota; Viridiplantae; Streptophyta; Magnoliopsida; Asparagales; Orchidaceae. The record is from RefSeq and is a predicted model, not a curated record.
GCGAGAUGAAAGGCCAAAGAUAGCAGUAAGCUCAAAGCUGAAAGGCGAACCCAAUAAAUGUGUAAACAUGGAAUAUGAUCAAGUCGAAGGUUUCGAAGGGGUGAAAGAAGACGUGCGUAAGCUGCCCAGAGAUAGGUGAUGGAGCUACAUCUUCUUUUGGAUUCAAUGAUAUUGAAGAACUUAAUGAGGCUUCUAGUUGUAGAUUCCAGAUUCCAAUUUAUCAUUUUGAUCACAAGCAGAAGUGGAUGACAAUGAAGCGAGGAAAUAGAGAUCCGAAGAUUUGAUUGCUAUUGAAUAAAGAAAUCGCCCUCAUGAUAAGGGCUAUUUUUUUUGAAUUUUCAUGUAAUAUUUUGUGAUCAUAUUUAUUGUAUAGAUUGAUUAUGUACAUAUAUGAAGCUUGAA